UACGAAGGGUGCAAGCGUUACUCGGAAUUACUGGGCGUAAAGGGUGCGUAGGUGGUUUUUUAAGUCCGUUGUGAAAUCCCUGGGCUCAACCUGGGAAUGGCAGUGGAUACUGGAAAGCUAGAGUGCGGUAGAGGGUAGUGGAAUUCCCGGUGUAGCAGUGAAAUGCGUAGAGAUCGGGAGGAACACCAGUGGCGAAGGCGGCUACCUGGACCAUUACUGACGCUGAUGCACGAAAGCUAGGGGAGCAAACAGG
This 253-nucleotide ribosomal RNA is filed under the name uncultured prokaryote. RNAcentral describes it as "partial 16S ribosomal RNA". It matches the Rfam family "Bacterial small subunit ribosomal RNA", at positions 524 to 776 of the family's 1533-position model. The record is from RNAcentral.